Molecule: ribosomal RNA, 242 nt
Filed under: uncultured Actinomycetales bacterium
Lineage: Bacteria; Bacillati; Actinomycetota; Actinomycetes; Actinomycetales
Description: partial 16S ribosomal RNA
Rfam family: Bacterial small subunit ribosomal RNA
Source: RNAcentral
UACUGAGUGGCGAACGGGUGAGUAACACGUGGGUGAUCUGCCCUGCACUUCGGGAUAAGCUUGGGAAACUGGGUCUAAUACCGGAUAGGAGCCAUCUUUAGUGUGGUGGUUGGAAAGUUUUUUCGGUGUAGGAUGAGCUCGCGGCCUAUCAGCUUGUUGGUGGGGUAAUGGCCUACCAAGGCGGCGACGGGUAGCCGGCCUGAGAGGGUGUACGGCCACAUUGGGACUGAGAUACGGCCCAG